AGUGAACGCUGGCGGUAGGCCUAACACAUGCAAGUCGAACGGCAGCACAGUAAGAGCUUGCUCUUACGGGUGGCGAGUGGCGGACGGGUGAGGAAUACAUCGGAAUCUACUUUUUCGUGGGGGAUAACGUAGGGAAACUUACGCUAAUACCGCAUACGACCUACGGGUGAAAGCAGGGGAUCUUCGGACCUUGCGCGAUUGAAUGAGCCGAUGUCGGAUUAGCUAGUUGGCGGGGUAAAGGCCCACCAAGGCGACGAUCCGUAGCUGGUCUGAGAGGAUGAUCAGCCUCACUGGAACUGAGACACGGUCCAGACUCCUACGGGAGGCAGCAGUGGGGAAUAUUGGACAAUGGGCGCAAGCCUGAUCCAGCCAUACCGCGUGGGUGAAGAAGGCCUUCGGGUUGUAAAGCCCUUUUGUUGGGAAAGAAAAGCAGCAGGUUAAUACCCCGCUGUUCUGACGGUACCCAAAGAAUAAGCACCGGCUAACUUCGUG
RNAcentral lists this ribosomal RNA (492 nucleotides) under uncultured bacterium. Its description in RNAcentral is "partial 16S ribosomal RNA". It matches the Rfam family "Bacterial small subunit ribosomal RNA", at positions 29 to 507 of the family's 1533-position model. The record is from RNAcentral.